CAAUAGCGUAUAUUAAAGUUGUUGCAGUUAAAAAGCUCGUAGUUGAAUGUUGGUGUCGAACGAGCGGUCAGCUUCGGCUGUACUGCUCUCUCGACUCCUUCCUUCUGUGGACUACGUCGCACUUUACUGUGUGGCGCUAGGACGCAGAUCGUUUACUGUGAAAAAAUUAGAGUGUUCAAAGCAGGCCGUACGCUUGAAUACAUUAGCAUGGAAUAAUGGAAUAGGACGUCGGGCCUAUUUUGUUGGUUCUAGGACCGUCGUAAUGAUUAAUAGGGACAGUUGGGGCCGUUUAUAUUCCGUAGUCAGAGGUGAAAUUCUUGGAUUUACGGAAGAUAAACUACUGCGAAAGCAUUCGGCAAGGAUGUUUUCGUUA
This 373-nucleotide ribosomal RNA is filed under the name uncultured eukaryote. RNAcentral's name for it is "partial 18S ribosomal RNA". It matches the Rfam family "Eukaryotic small subunit ribosomal RNA", at positions 592 to 975 of the family's 1831-position model. The record is from RNAcentral.